RNAcentral lists this ribosomal RNA (254 nucleotides) under uncultured bacterium. Its description in RNAcentral is "partial 16S ribosomal RNA". It matches the Rfam family "Bacterial small subunit ribosomal RNA", at positions 524 to 776 of the family's 1533-position model. The record is from RNAcentral.
UACGAAGGGGGCUAGCGUUGCUCGGAAUGACUGGGCGUAAAGGGCGCGUAGGCGGCUUGCACAGUCAGGCGUGAAAUUCCUGGGCUCAACCUGGGGACUGCGCUUGAGACGUGUGGGCUUGAGUGGGGAAGAGGGUCGUGGAAUUCCCAGUGUAGAGGUGAAAUUCGUAGAUAUUGGGAAGAACACCGGUGGCGAAGGGCGGCGACCUGGUCCUUGACUGACGCUGAGGCGCGAAAGCGUGGGGAGCAAACAGG